UAAGCCCUCCCUAAUUCCGUGCCAGCCCCCGCGGAAAUACGGGAGUGGCAAGCGUUAUCCGGAAUUAUUGGGCGUAAAGCGUCCGCAGGCGCCCUUGAAAGUCUGUCGUUAAAGCGUGGAGCUUAACUCCAUUUCGGCGGUGGAAACUACAAGGCUUGAGUGUGGUAGG
This 169-nucleotide ribosomal RNA is filed under the name uncultured bacterium. RNAcentral's name for it is "partial 16S ribosomal RNA". It matches the Rfam family "Bacterial small subunit ribosomal RNA", at positions 487 to 655 of the family's 1533-position model. The record is from RNAcentral.